RNAcentral lists this long non-coding RNA (346 nucleotides) under Felis catus (domestic cat). Its description in RNAcentral is "lncRNA (ENSFCAG00000051861.1)". Lineage: Eukaryota; Metazoa; Chordata; Mammalia; Carnivora; Felidae. The record is from RNAcentral.
UGUUAAAAUCAUUAAGCCAAUGUCCUCGAUUUAAUCUUUAAGGUUGACCAGCCAGCAUUGAGUCACCGCAAUCUUCUAAGUCGACAGGAAAAGAAUUGACGUCGUUACCAAACUCCACUGCGCUGCAGUCUACGUGUGUUUGAACUCAAACAGUGGACCACAGACCUGGAUGUUCUGCCCAGUAACAGCACAGAAGUAAAGAUGAUUGAUUCUGCCUGGAAGGUAUAUUGUUAAGUUGACUUACUACUGUUACAGGAAGAAGAAGAGUAAUCCUAGUUUCAGGGCCCUUCACUGUGCUUUCCAGAAGUCCUUGGUGAUGACUUUGAAGUCAGGGUGUGACCCACAG